GUGGGAGUAUGCUCCCAGGCGUCGACGGGUAGCCGGCCUGAGAGGGUGACCGGCCACACUGGGACUGAGACACGGCCCAGACUCCUACGGGAGGCAGCAGUGGGGAAUAUUGCACAAUGGGCGCAAGCCUGAUGCAGCAACGCCGCGUGAGGGAUGACGGCCUUCGGGUUGUAAACCUCUUUUAGCAGGGAAGAAGCGUGAGUGACGGUACCUGCAGAAAAAGCACCGGCUAACUACGUGCCAGAGCCCGCGGCCGACCG
Molecule: ribosomal RNA, 260 nt
Filed under: uncultured Microbacterium sp.
Lineage: Bacteria; Bacillati; Actinomycetota; Actinomycetes; Micrococcales; Microbacteriaceae
Description: partial 16S ribosomal RNA
Rfam family: Bacterial small subunit ribosomal RNA
Source: RNAcentral